RNAcentral lists this ribosomal RNA (408 nucleotides) under uncultured bacterium. RNAcentral's name for it is "bacterial SSU rRNA". It matches the Rfam family "Bacterial small subunit ribosomal RNA", at positions 917 to 1322 of the family's 1533-position model. The record is from RNAcentral.
GGGCCCGCACAAGCGGUGGAGCAUGUGGCUUAAUUCGAGGCAACGCGAAGAACCUUACCUGGUCUUGACAUGCCCGUCAUAGUUUUCCGAAAGGAAUUCGUCGGUUCGGCCGGACGGUGCACAGGUGCUGCAUGGCUGUCGUCAGCUCGUGUCGUGAGAUGUUCGGUUAAGUCCGGCAACGAGCGCAACCCUCGUUCCUAGUUGCCAGCGGGUAAUGCCGGGGACUCUAGGAAGACAAACCUCGUGUAGAGGUGGGAAGGUGGGGACGACGUCAAGUCAGUAUGGCCCUUACGGCCAGGGCUGCACACGUGCUACAAUGCCCGGUACAACAGGAAGCAAUACCGCAAGGUGGAGCAAAUCCUUAAAGCCGGGCCCAGUUCGGAUUGGGGUCUGCAACUCGACCCCAUG